GGCAACGUGGCGGAGUGGUUAUCGCGACAGCCUCGAAAGCUGUUUCCUUCGGGAGCGCAGGUUCGAAUCCUGCCGUUGUCG
This 81-nucleotide transfer RNA is filed under the name Fusarium mangiferae. It matches the Rfam family "tRNA". Rfam says of the family: Transfer RNA (tRNA) molecules are approximately 80 nucleotides in length. RNAcentral also lists the same sequence under 13 other names. Lineage: Eukaryota; Fungi; Ascomycota; Sordariomycetes; Hypocreales; Nectriaceae. The record is from RNAcentral.